Neltuma alba is the source of this 4435-nucleotide RNA transcript. It is a transcript of the gene named putative pentatricopeptide repeat-containing protein At3g47840, with no coding region annotated. NCBI's taxonomy places the organism in Eukaryota, Viridiplantae, Streptophyta, Magnoliopsida, Fabales, Fabaceae. The transcript has 4 exons. The record is from RefSeq and is a predicted model, not a curated record.
AGAUAGUUUAAGGUAGGUUCAGCGUUCUGAUUAUAUUCUGUGAUAUGCGUUCGACACCCUAAAGUUCGGUCUUAUUCUCAUUUCUUCGCCCGCCGCUUGUCCAUUCUCUUUCUCCUCCCUCCCCUGCUUCUACAGGUCCAUUUCCCUCUGCCUUACUAGAGACUGCUGAGAACCAACCGAUGAUUCGCAUUAUUAUGGAUAUUGGACAUUUGAUGGUUGCGACGAGUUUUCGGUUGCUAAUAUGGGGGUGAGUCGAGAGCUCAGGGCUUGAUGUUCUUAUCCGCUUAUGGUUUCAACCAUAGCCUUCCGAUUCAAAGUUAAAAAAAAAAAGAAAAAGCUUUCCGACCAACUGCGUUCGGCUCUUCUUUCUUAUCUCGCUCUGAGAAGGUAUCGAACCUAUAUAAUGAUUCUCACUCGUUUUUGAAGUACAAGGGAAGAAAAUUAGGAAGGAGACAGAUAAAGAAUGUGUGGGCUAAUUGGGUAUCUGGGUUACAACUUUGAUAGAGAGCGAAGAUACUUCCUUGGGGUACUCUUUAAUGGCUUCGGGCGAUGGCUCCACUGCGGACAUGCUUCCUCUGCAUUCGCUGUUGCCCCUUCAUUUUCUCCAGCCACUGAUCGUCUUCAGUUAUCUGAAAACGUCGACGGUUCUGCCAAAUCCAUGUACCAAGGAGCUGGCACUAAAUGCAGAGACCCGGUCUGGCAAAUAAAACCACAACAACUUGCAUCAACUGUAUAUUCCAUUCAUAAUUUGAACAUGCUUGAACUAAACUCUGAACUGAAGCAUCUUGUAAAAAGAGGUCACUUGGUUGAAGCCAGGGAUCUGUUUGAUAAAAUGCCUCACAGAGAUGAAAUUUCUUGGACCACAAUAAUUGCUGGUUAUGUCACUGCUUCAGAUUCUGAUGGAGCAUUGGUCUUGUACUCGAACAUGUGGAUCCAGCCUGGACUUCAAAUGGACCAAUUCGUUAUUAGCGUUGUACUCAAGGCUUGUGCAGCCAGCAUGAACAGAUAUUAUGGAGAAUUACUGCAUGGGUAUGCAGUGAAGUCUGGUUUGAAAAACUCAGUAUUUGUUGGCAGUGCCGUGCUAGACAUGUACAUGAAAGUAGGCCAAAUAGUGCUAGGUUGUAGAGUUUUUGAAGAAAUGACAGUUAGAAAUGUAAUAUCAUGGACUGCCAUAAUAGUGGGGCUUGCGCAUGCUGGUCACAGUAGGGAGGCAUUGUUAUACUUUUCUGAAAUGUGGAAAUCAAAAGUGGGAUAUGAUUCAUAUGCAUUUGCUAUUGCUUUAAAAGCAUCUGCUGAUGCAGGUUCCUUACUUGAUGGGAAAGCUAUUCAUGCACAGACUAUAAAACAAGGGUUUGAUGAGAACUCAUACGUGCUUAAUACUCUUGCUACAAUGUAUAAUAAAUGUGGAAAACCAGACUGUGGCUUUCGAUUGUUUGAAAGAAUGAAUGUGCUGAAUGUUGUUUCAUGGACAACCAUUAUCACGGCAUAUGUACAGAGGGGUCAAGAAGAACAUGCAGUGGGAGCAUUUAAAAGAAUGAGAAUAUUAGAUGUCAGUCCCAAUGAAUACACUUUGUCAGCAAUAAUUUCUGCUUGUGCAAAUCUAGCUGUUAUUGAAUGGGGAGAACAGUUACAUGCUUAUGCAUUGCGUCUAGGACUGGCAGAUGCAUUGUCAGUGGCAAAUUCCAUUAUGACUAUGUAUUCAAUAUGUGGGCAUUUAACUUCAGCUUCAUUAGUUUUUCAUGGUAUGCCUAGAAAAGAUAUUGUUUCUUGGAGCACCAUAAUUUCAGUCUAUUCCCAAGGAGGUUACGGGAGAGAGGCUUUUGAGUAUCUAUCAUGGAUGAGAAGGGAAGGACCAAAGCCCAAUGAAUUUGCUCUUGCUAGCGUGCUGAGUGUUUGUGGAAGUAUGGCACUUCUUGAGCAGGGAAGGCAAGUGCAUGCUCACGUCUUGUGCAUUGGGGUAGAUCAUGAAGUCAUGAUUUUGAGUGCUCUGAUCAAUAUGUAUUCAAAGUGUGGGAAUCUUCAAGAAGCUUCAAAGAUUUUUUAUGGGACAAAAACCAAUGACAUUAUAUCAUGGACAGCCAUGAUAAAUGGGUAUGCUGACCAUGGUUAUAGUCAAGAGGCUAUCAAUUUGUUUGAGAAGAUUUCUAGUAAUGGUUUGAAACCAGAUGCUGUGACUUUCAUUGGGGUUCUGACGGCUUGUAGCCAUGCUGGACUGGUUGAUCUUGGUUUUUACUACUUUAAUUUGAUGGGCGAUGAGUACCAAAUCAAUCCAUCAAAAGAACACUAUGGCUGCAUGAUUGAUCUUCUAUGCAGGGCUGGGAGAUUGAGUGAGGCUGAACUUAUGAUACGAAGCAUGCCAUUUCAGGGUGAUGAUGUUGUGUGGUCUACCUUACUUAGAGCAUGUAGGAUUCAUGGGGAUGUUGACUGUGGAAGGCGAGCGGCAGAAGAGAUACUUCACUUGGAUCCAAAUUCUGCUGGAACUCACAUCACUUUAGCUAACAUAUAUGCUGCCAAGGGAAUAUGGAACGAAGUUGCACAAAUAAGGAAGGUGAUGAGAUCAAAGGGUCUGAUAAAGGAGCCGGGAUGGUCAUGGAUCGAGGUCAAUGAUCAAGUAAAUGCAUUUGUUGCUGGAGAUCAGUCUCACCCACAAAGUGAGCAUAUCUUAACCAUUAUGGAUAUACUAAGCUCAACAAGAGAAUAUAAUAGCCUGGAAAUAUGUUCUCUUCUAGAUGUUGAAGAUUAGCAGAAGGUUGAGUGCUGCUUUUCUAUGUGCUGAUGUUAAGCCAGCAUUACUUUGAAUCAAGUUUCCAUAAGUUGCAUAAUACUUUUUGGGGGAUGGUUUCCCAAAAAACUUCUGAUCACUCAUGAGCAGGCAUGGGUUUGCCUAUGAACCUUAAACUGCUGCAGAAAUCAUUGCAAGUGAAUCUUUAUGUGUUAUUACUGAGAUGAUACACGGUCAGUGCAUUUUGUUUUAAAGUCCAUCAAUAUUUUGUUGAGUUGACUUAUAGUGGCUCGAGUCUUGAGGAAAGAUUUGCAUAUUUGGUCCAAUUUGGGUAUAAAAGAAUUUCUGGCAAUCUUCUAGUGUACUCAUAUACCAUCUGUGACUAAAAGUCUGAAAUUUUCUAUCAUUUAUCCAUCCAGUUCAAGGGGAAUUUUUUUUUCCCGUGGAAGUUUAAGGACAAGUUUAUCCUUGCACACUAAUGUGCCAAUAAGCAAAUCAUUGAGCAAAUGAAAAAAAGUAUUGUAGAAGUCUCUUUAAAGUUUGAUAGGGACAGUUACAUAUGUUAGUACUGCAAAUUUUUAUCAAAAGAAAUUAGCAAUUGUGGUACAAGUGAAGAAUUAAUUUACCUUGGUAAAUGGUCCUGAAAAAUCUGACCACAGAAGACAAGGUGGUGUUAUGUUUUCAACCAUUUGGCUGGUUUUUAUAUGACGGCCUUCUCUUGAAGUACUAUUGAUUUCUCUUGCCAUCAAAUUAUCAGUUAUGCCAUCCUGCAGAUGACUUUACAGGAGCCUGGAGUAUAUUUUCAAGCUAUUUUAAUAGAGUUAUCCCUUGAAGUUCACCAUUGGUCAGAUAAGCCCACUUUCCUUGGAAAAGGGUGAAACAAUUGCCCGAGUCUAUAUGCUUUCCAUCUUCACGUGUGGCAUUUAUUUUUGAAAGUUUUCUUCUGAAAAGCAUGAUCAGAUGAGUUUUGUCAAGUGUUCACUGAGUUUUUUCAUGUUUGUUUUAACCAAUAUGCAUAUUUAUUUGCGGUUUACCCUUUGAUGUAGUAUAAUGUGGAUUUUUUUGGUCCUUCCCCCCCCCCCCCUUUUUCAAUUAACCUUUCAGCUCAUCUUUUGUCUAAUUUCGGCCUCCUCAAAAGGCAUCAACAGAGGUGAUGGAUAUGAAUAUGUGUACUAAUGAGCGUUGCUUUGAGAUGGAACGGGUCAAACCAUGUCCUGGUACAGAGCAGCAAGUGGUUGGUUGUAUUAAUGCAUAAAUUUAGUAAUAUUGAUCAUUAUGUAUAUUGAUAUAUUGAUUAUAGUUUUACAUCUUAUUUUACGACAUAUAUCAUUAUGCUAACUUAUUUUUAUUUUGGUAAGCACAUUAUUCAUCUGCUAACAGGGCAGCUUGUUUUUUAUGCUGGGCGCAACGCACGGGAAGAUAUGUCUAAUUCAAAUUAUUCGUGUGUAACUGGGGAAGAGGAAAGGGGAAACAGCUAAGGAUCCCUGUAUUCUUCAAUUGUACGCAACACAAGGUGCAUUGAGGCUCCUCAUAGGCAGCAUGAUAUCCAGUUUUGAUGCUGAACAGGUGUCUAUUGUAAUUCUUUUCUUUCUUUCUUUCGCAGAUACAUGCGACUGCUGAAAUUUGCUCAUCUUCUUACAAAACCCAUUUUAUGAUUAAUAAUUUUAAUAACAGAUCACCUCUUUAUGUUUCAAUCUGAAGUGGUAUUUAAAU